GUGGAUUCCAUUCAGAGUGAGGAGGAUGAAGAUCCUUCUGACAUUCUGGAAAAGAAAUAUUAUAAACAAGAUAGAUCAUCAGGUGAGGUGGCUUUAGUUGAUGGCGCUUCUAGAAGUUCCCUAAACAAGAAGCUGGUGCUAAACAGAAAUUUGUCUUCAUCCACCCCUCGUACAACAGCAGCACCAGCUCCACGGUCAUCAGUGAAAAUUUCCAACCAAAGUUCUGGGAGGCG
RNAcentral lists this unclassified non-coding RNA (233 nucleotides) under Hevea brasiliensis (rubber tree). The record is from RNAcentral. Lineage: Eukaryota; Viridiplantae; Streptophyta; Magnoliopsida; Malpighiales; Euphorbiaceae.